Molecule: ribosomal RNA, 787 nt
Filed under: uncultured Glomeromycotina
Lineage: Eukaryota; Fungi; Glomeromycota
Description: SSU rRNA
Rfam family: Eukaryotic small subunit ribosomal RNA
Source: RNAcentral
GGCCUACCAUGGCGGUAACGGGUAACGGGGUGUUCAGGGCAGACACCCGGAGAGGGAGCCUGAGAAACGGCUACCACAUCCCAAGGAUGGCAGCAGGCGCGCCAAAUUACCCCAAUCCCCGACACGGGGGAGGUAGUGACAAUAAAAUAACAAAUACGGGGGUUCUUUCGGGAUUUUGUAAAUUGGAAAUGAGUACAAAUUUAAAUCUCUUAACGAGGAACAAAUUGGAGGGCAAGUCUGGUGCCAGCAGCCGCGGUAAUUCCAGCUCCAAUAGGGUAUAUUAAAGUUGCUGCAGUUAAAAAGCUUGUAGUUGAAUUUCGGGACUAAUAUGUCGGUCGUGCCUCGGUACGUACUGGCUUAUUGGUUUCUCCUUUCUGAAGAACCAUGAUGUCAUUUAUUUGGUGUCGUGGGGAAUCAGGACUGUUACUUUGAAAAAAUUAGAGUGUUUAAAGCAGGCUCACGCUUGAAUACAUUAGCAUGGAAUAAUGAAAUAGGACGUUUGAUUCUAUUUUGUUGGUUUCUAGGAUCGACGUAAUGAUUAAUAGGGAUAGUUGGGGGCAUUAGUAUUCAAUUGUCAGAGGUGAAAUUCUUGGAUUUAUUGAAGACUAACUACUGCGAAAGCAUUUGCCAAGGAUGUUUUCAUUAAUCAAGAACGAAAGUUAGGGGAUCGAAGACGAUCAGAUACCGUCGUAGUCUUAACCAUAAAUUAUGCCGACUAGGGAUCGGAUGAUGUUAAUUUUUUAAUGACUCAUUCGGCGCCUUACGGGAAACCAAAGUGUUUGGGUUC